AUUGUACGCUGGCGGCAGGCUUAACACAUGCAAGUCGAGCGGGGAAGUAUAGCUUGCUAUACGACCUAGCGGCGGACGGGUGAGUAAUGCUUAGGAAUCUGCCUAUUAGUGGGGGACAACAUUCCGAAAGGAAUGCUAAUACCGCAUACGCCCUACGGGGGAAAGCAGGGGAUCUUCGGACCUUGCGCUAAUAGAUGAGCCUAAGUCAGAUUAGCUAGUUGGUGGGGUAAAGGCCUACCAAGGCGACGAUCUGUAGCGGGUCUGAGAGGAUGAUCCGCCACACUGGGACUGAGACACGGACCAGACUCCUACGGGAGGCAGCAGUGGGGAAUAUUGGACAAUGGGCGCAAGCCUGAUCCAGCCAUGCCGCGUGUGUGAAGAAGGCCUUUUGGUUGUAAAGCACUUUAAGCGAGGAGGAGGCUACUUGGAUUAAUACUCUAGGAUAGUGGACGUUACUCGCAGAAUAAGCACCGGCUAACUCUGUGCCAGCCGCCGCCGUAA
This 501-nucleotide ribosomal RNA is filed under the name uncultured bacterium. RNAcentral describes it as "partial 16S ribosomal RNA". It matches the Rfam family "Bacterial small subunit ribosomal RNA", at positions 30 to 523 of the family's 1533-position model. The record is from RNAcentral.